Molecule: ribosomal RNA, 440 nt
Filed under: uncultured Lachnospiraceae bacterium
Lineage: Bacteria; Bacillati; Bacillota; Clostridia; Lachnospirales; Lachnospiraceae
Description: bacterial SSU rRNA
Rfam family: Bacterial small subunit ribosomal RNA
Source: RNAcentral
CCUACGGGAGGCAGCAGUGGGGAAUAUUGGACAAUGGGGGAAACCCUGAUCCAGCGACGCCGCGUGAGUGAAGAAGUAUUUCGGUAUGUAAAGCUCUAUCAGCAGGGAAGAAAAUGACGGUACCUGACUAAGAAGCCCCGGCUAACUACGUGCCAGCAGCCGCGGUAAUACGUAGGGGGCAAGCGUUAUCCGGAUUUACUGGGUGUAAAGGGAGCGCAGACGGCCAAGCAAGUCUGAAGUGAAAUGCAUGGGCUCAACCCAUGAAUUGCUUUGGAAACUGUUAGGCUUGAGUGUCGGAGGGGUAAGCGGAAUUCCUAGUGUAGCGGUGAAAUGCGUAGAUAUUAGGAGGAACACCGGAGGCGAAGGCGGCUUACUGGACGACAACUGACGUUGAGGCUCGAAGGCGUGGGGAGCAAACAGGAUUAGAUACCCUGGUAGUC